RNAcentral lists this ribosomal RNA (789 nucleotides) under uncultured bacterium. RNAcentral describes it as "bacterial SSU rRNA". It matches the Rfam family "Bacterial small subunit ribosomal RNA", at positions 8 to 796 of the family's 1533-position model. The record is from RNAcentral.
AGAGUUUGAUCAUGGCUCAGAUUGAACGCUGGCGGCAUCCUUACACAUGCAAGUCGAACGCGAAAGGGGGCAACCCCGAGUAGAGUGGCGAACGGGUGAGCAAUACAUCGGAACGUGUCCUGUAGCGGGGGACAACACAUCGAAAGAUGUGCUAAUACCGCAUACGAUCUACGGAUGAAAGUGGGGGACCGCAAGGCCCCACACUAUAGGAGCGGCCGAUGCCGGAUUAGCUUGUUGGCGGGGUAAAAGCCCACCAAGGCGACGAUCCGUAGCUGGUUUGAGAGAACGACCAGCCACACUGGGACUGAGACACGGCCCAGACUCCUACGGGAGGCAGCAGUGGGGAAUUUUGGACAAUGGGCGCAAGCCUGAUCCAGCCAUGCCGCGUGAGUGAAGAAGGCCUUCGGGUUGUAAAGCUCUUUCGGCCGGGACGAAAUGGCGCGGGGUAAUAUCCCGCGUCGAUGACGGUACCGGAAGAAGAAGGACCGGCUAACUACGUGCCAGCAGCCGCGGUAAUACGUAGGGUCCAAGCGUUAAUCGGAAUUACUGGGCGUAAAGCGUGUGCAGGCGGUUUCGAAAGUCCGAUGUGAAAUCCCCGGGCUUAACCUGGGAACUGCGUUGGAAACUACGAGGCUAGAGUGCGGCAGAGGGGGGUGGAAUUCCAGGUGUAGCAGUGAAAUGCGUAGAGAUCUGGAGGAACACCGAUGGCGAAGGCAGCCCCCUGGGUUAGCACUGACGCUCAUACACGAAAGCGUGGGGAGCAAACAGGAUUAGAUACCCNNGUAGUCC